UUCAGGUUGAUCCUGCCGGAGGUUACUGCUAUCUGAAUCCGAUUAAGACAUGCGAGUCAAUGCCGCAAGGCAUGGCGAACUGCUCAGUAACACGUAGCUAACAUGCCCUUGGAACCGGGAUAAUCCCGCGAAAGUGGGGCUAAUACCAGAUAGUUGAUGGAGGCUGGAAUGCGCCAUCGACCAAAGGCCCGCAAGGGCGUCCAAGGAUUGGGCUGCGGCCGAUCAGGCUGUUGUGAGGGUAAAGUCCUCACAAACCUAUAACCGGUAAGGGCCAUGAAAGUGGGGGCCCUGAGAUGGAUUCUGAGACAUGAAUCCAGGUCCUACGGGACGCAGCAGUUACGAAAACUUCGCAAUGCGCGCAAGCGCGACGAGGGGAUUCGGAGUGUUACGACUUUUUGUCGUAUCUUUUACCAAGGUUAAGGCCCUUGGUGAAUAAGUGGUGGGCAAGACGAGUGCCAGCCGCCGCGGUAAUACUCGCGCCACGAGUGGUGACCACGAUUAUUUGGCCUAAAGUGUCCGUAGCUGGUUCGGUAAGUCUCCGGUGAAAUCUCAUAGUUGACUAUGAGGCGUGCUGGGGAUACUGCUGAACUUGGGACCGGGAAAGGG
This 606-nucleotide ribosomal RNA is filed under the name uncultured archaeon. RNAcentral's name for it is "bacterial SSU rRNA". It matches the Rfam family "Archaeal small subunit ribosomal RNA", at positions 1 to 609 of the family's 1478-position model. The record is from RNAcentral.